AUUGAACGCUGGCGGCAGGCCUAACACAUGCAAGUCGAACGGUAACAGGAAGCAGCUUGCUGCUUCGCUGACGAGUGGCGGACGGGUGAGUAAUGUCUGGGAAGCUGCCUGAUGGCGGGGGUUAACUACUGGAAACGGUAGCUAAUACCGCAUAAUGUCGCAAGACCAAAGAGCGGGACCUUCAGGCCUUUUGCCUUCCGAUGAUCCCCGAGCGGAUUCUGUUGUUGGUGGGGUAACGGGUCACCAAGGCGAAGAGCCCUGGCUGGUCUGCGAGGAGGGCCAGCCAAACCGGAAAUGGAACACGGGCCCGGCUCCUACGGGAGGGAAGAGUGGGGAAUAUUGCACAAUGGGCGGAAGGCUGAAGCAGCCAAGGCGCGUGUAGGAAGGAGGCCUUCGGGUUGUAAAGUACUUUCAGCGGGGAGGAAGGGAGUAAAGUUAAUACCGUUGCUCAUUGACGUUACCCGCAGAAGAAGCACCGGCUAACUCCGUGC
Molecule: ribosomal RNA, 491 nt
Filed under: uncultured bacterium
Lineage: Bacteria
Description: partial 16S ribosomal RNA
Rfam family: Bacterial small subunit ribosomal RNA
Source: RNAcentral